This 442-nucleotide ribosomal RNA is filed under the name uncultured bacterium. Its description in RNAcentral is "partial 16S ribosomal RNA". It matches the Rfam family "Bacterial small subunit ribosomal RNA", at positions 338 to 795 of the family's 1533-position model. The record is from RNAcentral.
CCUACGGGAGACAGCAGUAGGGAAUCUUUCACAAUGGGCGAAAGCCUGAUGGAGCAACGCCGCGUGCAGGAUGAAGGCCUUCGGGUUGUAAACUGCUUUUAUAAGCGAGCAAUAUGAUGGUAACUUAUGAAUAAGGAUCGGCUAACUACGUGCCAGCAGCCGCGGUCAUACGUAGGAUCCGAGCAUUAUCCGGAGUGACUGGGUGUAAAGAGUUGCGUAGGUGGCAUCAUAAGUAGCUAGGGAAAUCUGGUGGCUCAACCAUUCAGACUAUUAGCUAAACUGUUAAGCUCGAGACCGUUAGGGGUAACUGGAAUGUCUAGUGUAGGAGUGAAAUCCGUAGAUAUUAGAAGGAACACCAAUAGCGUAGGCAGGUUGCUGGGACGGUUCUGACACUAAGGCACGAAAGCGUAGGGAGCAAACGGGAUUAGAUACCCUAGUAGUC